AGACAGGAACAAGAAGAAGUUACAGACAUAAAAACCACAGCAAGAAUCAUUUAUCUUGUAUCAGCACAGAGGACACGGAUAAGGACAGUGCAGAGAAACAACACACAUUUACAUUUAAGUCACAAGAAUGGAACAGCUCAUAGUUUUCUGUCAGGCAGUUUUUCGAUGUGAACAUCUGAAUGAAAAGGACACGCUGAAAGAGGACCUGGGAGGAACUUCAUGACUGUGUCCACAAUACUUUCUUCUUCAUCCUCAUCAUCACCGCAGCCGGCAGGCACGGCUUUCUUUGGGCGAGUGAGACUGCCUUCAGACGCCUGCUCCAUAGCAGCCUGAGCCUCAGCCUCCUUCUCCUCCUUCUUCUUUAUACCAUACUAAACAUCCAACAGACAGAAAUUAGAGCAGUUUGAAUCUAAAUUCCUUCAUGCUGGUGAAAUGUAAUAUGGCUUACACCAGGGGUUCUCAGUUUUUUUGCAGACAGGGAUCCCUUUAACUCUGAAAUAAUUUAGUAAACCGAUUUAUUUUAUGAACAUAAUCCAACUAUUCAAUUAUUAGACUCAUUAUUUAAAUGUAUACAGUAAUUUAUUGGUGCCAAACUUUCUACCAGCUGAACACAUUAGGUCUAAGUUGAAAUUAUUAAUAGGCUAGUAGUUUUUAAGUUGUUGAGUUUUGGAUUAAACUCAUUUGAUUCGAGUUACAAGUCAAACAGGCUAAUAUCUAUAAUAACUCAAUAAUACAUUUAAUAGCUUUAAUGACGGUGAGUUGUACUUUCUAUGACUGCUAAAAAAAAAAACCUCACAGACCCCUGAUGGUCUCUGGACCCCCCUUUAUGAUGAUGGCUUAAACAACCAAUGUAUAACUUGGCAAAUUCAUGUCCAUAACUGUAAAUGCAUGACUUCAUGCCUACAACUGUAAGCCCAUGACUCUAAGUCCAUGACCAAAGCCUGUGACUGUAUGUCCAUGACUAUAAGCUCAUGAUGUUGGCAGACUGCCACUUGGCAAAGCUGCCCAAUUCCUCCACUGUUCUCACAAUUAGCUUAGUGGUUCACAGAAAUUAAUUUAUACUACAUGCAUUUGUUAAUUUUAAAUAAAUGUUCUGAUUAAAAUGCUAUGCCAAGUAUUGGCAGGGAAGGCCACUUCAUUAUACAUGUGUUUUAGAUGACAAAUGGUCCACUUGCUCUCUGAGAGUCAGUGGCUCAAAAUGAAACCUAAUUUAUUUUGGCUUGCCUUAGGUUUUAGUGUUAUUACCUUUGGGGGAUUUUGUGUGCAUAGAUUUGUGUAUAUAAUAUCAUAACUGGGAUAAAACAUUUAGAGAUGACUCUUAGGGAUAAAACAUUUAGAGAUGAAUUUAUUUACUUUGCUUGUUUUGAGACAUUAUAAUAUAUUGUAUAUUAUAUUUUGCUUACAUACAACAUAUAGAACUGUAAGGCAGGAGAUAGGGACAAACAUUUUUAUCAAACAUUUUUAUCUAUUGUGCCUAGUAUUUGAUGUUUUUAAUGUUUUUAAUUAAAUUAUACCUUCUGAAACUGUUGUAUAGCAGCAACUGCUGUCCUUCCUGAUUGAUGUCUGAUUUCAUUCCACCCAAGUGAAAAAUAAACAUGACUCUCCCGUGGUACACAUAACUGUAUAUUAAAGACACACACCUUUUCUGUCAAUGACUAGUAUUUAAUAAAAUUUUGUUUGUUCAA
Molecule: long non-coding RNA, 1685 nt
Organism: Ictalurus punctatus (channel catfish)
Lineage: Eukaryota; Metazoa; Chordata; Actinopteri; Siluriformes; Ictaluridae
Exons: 2
Source: RefSeq, a predicted model, not a curated record